CCUACGGGAGGCAGCAGUGAGGAAUAUUGGUCAAUGGACGAGAGUCUGAACCAGCCAAGUCGCGUGAAGGAUGACUGCCCUAUGGGUUGUAAACUUCUUUUAUAUGGGAGUAAAAUGUUGCACGUGUGGGAUUUGGUAUGUCCCAUAUGAAUAAGGAUCGGCUAACUCCGUGCCAGCAGCCGCCGUAAUACGGAGGAUCCGAGCGUUAUCCGGAUUUAUUGGGUUUAAAGGGAGCGUAGGUGGAUUGUUAAGUCAGGUGUGAAAGUUUGCGGCUCAACCGUCAGAUUGCAGUUGAAACUGGCAGUCUGGAGUGCAGGAGAGGUGAGCGGAAUUCGUGGUGUAGCGGUGAAAUGCUUAGAUAUCACGAAGAACUCCGAUUGCGAAGGCAGCUCACUGGACUGCAACUGACACUGAGGCUCGAAAGUGUGGGUAUCAAACAGGAUUAGAUACCCUUGUAGUC
RNAcentral lists this ribosomal RNA (460 nucleotides) under uncultured bacterium. Its description in RNAcentral is "partial 16S ribosomal RNA". It matches the Rfam family "Bacterial small subunit ribosomal RNA", at positions 338 to 795 of the family's 1533-position model. The record is from RNAcentral.